This 465-nucleotide ribosomal RNA is filed under the name Vreelandella stevensii. RNAcentral's name for it is "partial 16S ribosomal RNA". It matches the Rfam family "Bacterial small subunit ribosomal RNA", at positions 338 to 795 of the family's 1533-position model. The record is from RNAcentral. Lineage: Bacteria; Pseudomonadati; Pseudomonadota; Gammaproteobacteria; Oceanospirillales; Halomonadaceae.
CCUACGGGCGGCAGCAGUGGGGAAUAUUGGACAAUGGGGGGAACCCUGAUCCAGCCAUGCCGCGUGUGUGAAGAAGGCCCUCGGGUUGUAAAGCACUUUCAGUGAGGAAGAACGCCUGGUGGUUAAUACCCAUCAGGAAAGACAUCACUCACAGAAGAAGCACCGGCUAACUCCGUGCCAGCAGCCGCGGUAAUACGGAGGGUGCGAGCGUUAAUCGGAAUUACUGGGCGUAAAGCGCGCGUAGGUGGCUUGAUAAGCCGGUUGUGAAAGCCCCGGGCUCAACCUGGGAACGGCAUCCGGAACUGUCAAGCUAGAGUGCUGGAGAGGAAGGUAGAAUUCCCGGUGUAGCGGUGAAAUGCGUAGAGAUCGGGAGGAAUACCAGUGGCGAAGGCGGCCUUCUGGACUGACACUGACACUGAGGUGCGAAAGCGUGGGUAGCAAACAGGAUUAGAUACCCCUGUAGUC